UACGAAGGGGGCUAGCGUUGUUCGGAAUUACUGGGCGUAAAGGGCGCGUAGGCGGCGUGUCAAGUCAGGCGUGAAAGCCCCGGGCUCAACCUGGGAACCGCGCUUGAGACUGGCAUGCUCGAGUUCGGGAGAGGAUGGUGGAAUUCCCAGUGUGGAGGUGAAAUUCGUAGAUAUUGGGAAGAACACCGAUGGCGAAGGCAGCCAUCUGGACCGACACUGACGCUGAGGCGCGAAAGCGUGGGGAGCAAACAGG
Molecule: ribosomal RNA, 253 nt
Filed under: uncultured bacterium
Lineage: Bacteria
Description: partial 16S ribosomal RNA
Rfam family: Bacterial small subunit ribosomal RNA
Source: RNAcentral